Robinsoniella sp. RHS is the source of this 275-nucleotide ribosomal RNA. It matches the Rfam family "Bacterial large subunit ribosomal RNA", at positions 2649 to 2925 of the family's 2925-position model. The record is from Rfam. NCBI's taxonomy places the organism in Bacteria, Bacillati, Bacillota, Clostridia, Lachnospirales, Lachnospiraceae.
GGGCGCAGGAUAUUUGAGAGGAGCUGACCUUAGUACGAGAGGACCGGGUUGGACUGACCUCUGGUGUACCGGUUGUUCUACCAAGAGCAUGGCCGGGUAGCCAAGUCGGGAAGGGAUAAACGCUGAAGGCAUCUAAGCGUGAAGCCCCCCUCAAGAUGAGAUAUCCCCCGCAUAAGCGGUAAGACCCCUUGAAGACGACGAGGUAGAUAGGUUAGAGGUGGAAGUGCAGUAAUGUAUGGAGCUGACUAAUACUAAUAGGUCGAAGGCUUAUCCAU